GAAUGGUGGAUGCCUUGACUGGUAAAGGCGAUGAAGGACGUACUAGACUGCGAUAAGCUACGGGGAGCUGUCAAGAAGCUUUGAUCCGUAGAUUUCCGAAUGGGGCAACCCAAUGUAUAGAGAUAUACAUUACCUAUAUAGGAGCGAACGAGGGGAAUUGAAACAUCUUAGUACCCUCAGGAAAAGAAAUCAAUAGAGAUUGCGUCAGUAGCGGCGAGCGAAAGCGCAAGAGGGCAAACCCAGUGCUUGCACUGGGGGUUGUAGGACUGCAAUGUGCAAGAGGUAAGUUUAGCAGAACAUUCUGGAAAGUAUAGCCAUAGAGGGUGAUAGUCCCGUAUGCGAAAAACAAACCUUAGCUAGCAGUAUCCUGAGUAGGGCGGGACACGAGGAAUCCUGUCUGAAUCCGGGUCGACCACGAUCCAACCCUAAAU
Molecule: ribosomal RNA, 431 nt
Filed under: Campylobacter jejuni
Lineage: Bacteria; Pseudomonadati; Campylobacterota; Epsilonproteobacteria; Campylobacterales; Campylobacteraceae
Description: partial 23S ribosomal RNA
Rfam family: Bacterial large subunit ribosomal RNA
Source: RNAcentral